AUCCAUAGAUUAGGGCCUAAUGAAUUUAUUUCAGUUGACUGAUUUCCUCAUGUGGACUGGAAUUCAGUAAAAUCGUUGAAAUUGUUCCAUGUUGCAUUUAUUUUUUUGUUCAGUAUAUUAACCUGAAGAAGGUGUACAAAUCUACCCACAUUCAUCCCGCAGAUGAAUUAAAUAUUGUUAUGAUGUUGGUUUACUUACACAGAUAUUUCCUCAAAGACUAAAUCGAUAUCAAGCUGUCUUGGUCUUAAUUAACAUCAGUGUAAAAACUAUGAUACAAACCAGCCUGGUCCCCUGGGUAAAUUUAAAGGAAUUAUUAUACACAGGAAACCAGAUAAAGCAGGCUCAUUUCCUCAUACUGUGUGACACUUGAUGGCCUCACUACUCAGUUUCAGACAAUGGUACCAUGCUCCUUCUAAUUUCUUUGGAUGAUCAAAAUACAAAUCUGACUCAGAGGUGUCCUCACAGUUUUUAAACAAUCUUUGCUGAGCAUUUGUGUGGUAUUGUAUGUUGAUAUUUUCACUGAUGGUUUCUGUGUUAAAGACACACUUUUCAUUGAUCUGUUGGCACACUGUGUGUUUAUCUGUCUCUUGUUUUGUUUUUUCAGGUCUGAACGCACUUCUGGGAAAUGGCUCAAAAUUGCCUCAAGUGCUUGAAAUACACCAUGUGUGUGGUUAACUUCUUGUGCUUUAUCUGUGGAACUGCAGGGUUUGGUUUUGGAGUGUUCAUGAUGAUGUCAUCCCUGUCCUCCCUGAACAUUGCCAACAUGCUCUUCAUCACCGGCAUCAUCAUGACCUGUGUGUCCUUCCUGGGGUUCCUGGGGGCCCUGAAAGAGAACCGCUGCCUCCUUGUCACUUUUUUCAUCCUGCUGUUCAUUCUGAUGUUGGUGGAGCUGACUGCAGCCUUUCUACUGCUUUUAUAUGAGAGCAAGAUUGACAGCUUCCUACAGAGGGAUCUCAUAGACAAUCUGGAGAAGUCCAGGGAAUCAGCUAAAGGUGGGAAUUCAACAAUGAGCAAGGGCGACUGGGACAUCAUUCAGACCAUGUUCCAGUGCUGUGGGGUACAUAACUCAAGUGACUGGAAGGAUAAAGUGCCUGCGUCCUGCUGCUCCAAGACCCAAUGUGACAUCAAUCAGCCGGGUUGUUACAAUAAAUUGAAGGCCUGGUUUGAGGGGAACUCCCUAGCCACUGGAGUUGCUGUGAUUGUGCUCUGCAGUAUUGAGACAGAGGGACAGACAGAUGGCUUCUGGGACUGGGGGCCUGGCAUGUCAGGGCUCAAAUGGGCAUCAGCCGAGUGGUGUUGAACAGGAGUGGGUUCAGUUCCUCUGCAUGCACAGCCCUGUGGAGGGAGGGCUCUGAGGCACUCCGCUCGAUUUUUGGUAACAGGUCCUGGACCUGCUCAAUGCCUAACAUGAUCUGAGGAGAAACAAAGUAAACAUUGUAGAAUUGGAAAGAUACUCACAUUCGAACCAAGGAGGCGGAGAUGGAUAAAACAAAAAGAGAACUGUAUGUAAAGAGGAAAAUACCCUGUUGUUGACUUUAAAUGCUUUGGCAGUGCCCUCUCACCUGUGGAAAGAGGGGCCUCUCAUCACGUUUGAACUUCAGGCAGUCAAUGAUUAGCCUCUUCAUUGAUUUGGGUGAGCUACUGGACAGCAAACUGAGGUCUGGAGACAAAUAGCCUCGCCCAACCAUAAAGAGUAUCUGAGAGGAAAGACAGGUUGGUAAAUGUAUGUCUCUUGCUGGGAAUAGAAUAUACAACCAUAUCAGUUCUUAUGUACGAGACGUUUGAAUGUGAAUGAUCUUAAAUAGCAUAUGUCAGCUGCACCCUUCAGAUCUGUAUUAAGAGGUAAACCGCUCCCAUCCUCCCCUCGGUAGUCUCAUUUUAUAUUUAUGUUUUAUUGUAAAAUUAUAACAAUUUCAUUGCCAUUAUAAUAAUUUCACCUGGUCUCUGUUGUUGAUCUGGGAAUAAGGCAGAGUCCCUGACAUCAGCUCAAACAGAACCACCCCGUAGCCAUACACGUCUGACUGAAAUGUGUAAGGGUUGGUGUCCUGCAUCCGGAUCACCUCAGGAGCCUAAAAACAGAAAACGCACACAUAUCGUUGGACAGCUGAUUCAAGCACAAACAUUUUAUUUGAUCUGUUCCAUGAAGAUUAAUUUAAGACUAAGACUUUUUCCAUUUGCCUGGCUACCCAGUUUCUCCUCUGCAAUGAUUCUGGAUUGGAGUACAUCCCUGACUGUUCACCGAAUGCGAACACAUUCGGGCUGUCUGACUGGACCAGGAACUAAUGGGUUGGGCCAGAGGCGGACCACACGUGGGUAAAGCGGCAGUUUGAAAAUUUGUCAUGGCUUUGAUACUCUGAUUGGUUUGAGACGAUUAGAUACCCAUAGACAUAGUCAUUGCGCCAACGCUAGAUAGCAACUUUCCUCAAACUGCACACAGAGCAAUACAAAUUGUAUUCACAAGUUCAGGAAAUUCAGUUGUGUCACGUUUUUUGUGUACUUGCCACGAUACCUCUGAUUAUAGCAACAACCCUAACUGUUAUACUAACAUAAAGCUGAGUCUGUCCUCUUAACAGUAGUUUUAAAAACAGUCUUUCCCACAAAUACAUUUUGAAAAUAUUGCCCAACUCUCAGUGUGCUUGUACUUAUCACAAAGCAUCUCUCCCUUCACUUCAUGUGCAAAGGGGAGAGGGAGAGGCAGCGAAACAGAGACAGGACAGAGACAGGGCAGUGACUUUCAUUGCAGGAAGCAGGUUAAUCCAGAUUCAUACACAUUGACAGAUGGAAUGGAAUUGCUUUUCCAUUACUUCUAACCAAAUUUCCAAAAAAGUAUGCAUAAUAUUGUAUUGACACUGGGAGGCUGCCCUUUGAUCCCAUAUACCAUCUCUUGCUGUCGCGCAAGGCACUCCCCCAUUCAUAAUAAUACUUGUUAAAUGAAUUGUUAAAAAAAGUAAAUCCACUUUGUAUGGCCAUGUUCGCGAGUGUCAGUGGUACGGUUUUGGGGUCACACCGAAAAUAUUAAUACAUUCUAAUAAUAUCUAAACAGUUAACUAGAAGGUACAAGAUAUGUUUUGUUUUGGCUACUAGUUUGUUCUCCAUAUUUUAUAGGCUAGGCCCACCUGCUGCUGAAACGUCUGACUGACUCCUUGAGCAACGGCCCACUCAUCUUGCACACAUGCAGGUGAUGCGAGCAAACAAAUGAGCUGAAGUGUCAUUCCGAUCCUGGUGGAUAUGUAGAUUUUUUUAUUUGACUGACAAAAUCUUUAAACUGUGCCUAAAUAUAUUAAAUUAAUUUCCAUGACCUUUCCAAAACUUUUAGGAUGUUAUAAUUUUCCAAACCUUUUUCAGGCCUGGAAAACACAAUUUCAAGAUGUCAUGACUUUUCUAGGAUUUUCAUGACCGUAGGAACCCUGGUUAAUGCACAUUACGGUUGAACAAAAAUUUGUUUUAGAACCCCAAAAAUCUGCAGGAACGAUGUUUAGCCUAAUCAACAAAAUUAUAGAUAUAAUCAAAAUUACUUCGGUAAGAGGGCAAUGUCGGUGUCUAAUUCUCAGUUAAAUGUCCCAGUUCAAGUUACUGUUGUCUUAAAUUGUGAAGACCACUUUUCUCUCUCUGCAACAGCUCGACUUGCACAUGCACAAAACGAGCACAUGCAGAUAGAUAAGCUCUAACAUCUUGAAAGUGUGCCUCAAAAAAAAUAUAUACAUAUUACCGUGGUGGCAACAAUUAAGCAGCUGCACAAUAUAACAGAAACUGUUUGCCUAUCGGCGUUGUAUUUUUUAAGACCUUUGAAAACUGAAUUGAAGACAUUGUAAGACUUAAGGCCUUUAAAUCAGAUUAAUUUAAUUAAGACAAACACUUUAAGGACCCGCAGACACCCUGUUUAAGAUGUUACAACUGCGGUCUUAUACUGAAAGAUUAAUCACGCAUGAAAAAUACAACCCCUCUAAACUCUCCAGGAAAACUCAGACAUUACAAAAUCACAUUGCUAAAUGUAGUUUGACAGUUGAUGUGAAAUGAUGCUACCCCCACUAUCAGCCAGUGAUAUCUAGGAUGUAUUCCUAGACACCAAAUGGAAGAAAAAUGCUUGAAACGGACUGCCUGAACUUGUUCAAUGAGACACUGUGCUGUAAAUUAAUGCAACCCAGGGGUGCAAGGAACUUACCAUCCACAGAAUGGAACCGCUAGGCUGUUCUACCUGCUCGGAGCCACUCCAUCGAGACUUCACUGUGGCCAGCCCAAAGUCCCCGAUCUUCACAGUCCAGCCCUCAUGGAGGAAGAUGUCUAAUACCAGAGCUCAGGAACAUGGCAGCAGGUAGGAGUGACUGUCUCACUUCUAUGAUGCUGACUCCGGCAGGGCCCACAGUGCUGACCAUGUGGACGUUGGGGGUGGAGGUGGACCGAUGCCUCUGUAGGGAUGGUCCAUCUCCAACUGGCUGGGGAAACAGGAAGGCAGAGGUCGGGGACAGAAGUCCAUGCCUACAAGACACAAAGGGGCACAACAGAACAGACACGGAUGGUGCCGCCACCUCGGGGCACAUCCUCUGGACUGGUCUCACCAGAGGAGGAGCAAGAGGAGGAGUUGGAGGACAUGAUGAAAGGCAGGAGGAGCAGGGGAGGCAGCACUGAGAUGCUUCAACCGCAGGCGAACUUCAUGCACUGGGGAUCCGGGGGAGUGAGCCCUUACCUGGAACAGACAGUGCUACGAAUUAGCUACGAUCCAUCUGAAUUCAAUCAAACGAGUGAGACAAAUGUGCCCACAAUUAUGAACAUAGAUUGACUAAGUAUGUUGCAACUUGCAAGGAUUAUACAACAUUGUGUAAACUAGGUAAAGAACUGCUAAAUACACAGAAGAGGCCUCAUUUUUACAACUCCAAAAAAUAGCUUCUCACAGUAAAAACAGUCUAAAAAGGAUUGCUUGUACCAAACAGCUGAGUUGGUGUAGGUUGUCAAUGGCUCGAACAAUUGUUAUUUGUCAUGGAUGAUUACUACUUUGACACUAACUAGUUAAACUUACUAACCAGCUAGCUAACUUCAUAGGCAACUUUACGUAGCCUAGACAUUGCUAGUUAACGUUCAUUACUACAGCAUGUCUCGCUGCACUUUGACUCACAGCUAGACAUUUAACGUUAAUGUGCACGCGAAAUUGCAUUAUUGCUGUCAAGUACCGUAGGAGCCUUGUUGGCUUUGUAAAGCUACAAAUGUUAUAGCUAAAGUCGUUGGCAAGGUAAUUACGUAGCUAUCCUAGCUUAGCAUAUAGUAAUGAUAUGACUGUUUAGCAAUAUGACAUUUCCACAUUUUGGAAGCCAUAUUUCUCUCAGCAUAACUACCACUGAGGCGUGCAAUUUGUUUAUAUUAUUUUUGACGGAAUGACAAUACCGCGUCGACGAGGCUGUUAUAAAUAGUUUCUUAAUUCCUGUCAGGUGUUUUUUUCACGUUCGAGUGCUUUCAUGAGGCGGAAAGGGAUUAGCUAGCUAGCGCGUUGGGUUGCUACUUUUGCUGUCUGAUACCAUCAAGUAACGAAAAUCUUCUUUCACUCUAAUUUACGUAAUAACAUAAGCAACUGCUUAAUUCAUAAUCGGCAAUUCAGUACCAUUGCAAAACGAGUAAUUCAUAAACAACUAACCGCAAAUUUGGUUUUGGAAUAGUCUUACCUGAAGGAGCCAUCUUGAAUGCUCUUCAUCAGAAGUAGAAUCUCUUGGAAAGCGGAACACCUCCGUGAUGCGCGCUCCCUAUUGGUCAAUUCUCACAUGUACACUCGCUCAUUGGAUAACAUAAUAUAACAAUGGGGCGGGUGUUACAAGUAAACAUGAUUAAA
This is an RNA transcript of Oncorhynchus gorbuscha (pink salmon), 5815 nucleotides long. It is a transcript of the gene named leukocyte surface antigen CD53-like, with no coding region annotated. The transcript is spliced from 9 exons. The record is from RefSeq and is a predicted model, not a curated record. Lineage: Eukaryota; Metazoa; Chordata; Actinopteri; Salmoniformes; Salmonidae.